Molecule: ribosomal RNA, 520 nt
Filed under: uncultured Diversispora
Lineage: Eukaryota; Fungi; Glomeromycota; Glomeromycetes; Diversisporales; Diversisporaceae
Description: SSU rRNA
Rfam family: Eukaryotic small subunit ribosomal RNA
Source: RNAcentral
AGCAGCCGCGGUAAUUCCAGCUCCAAUAGCGUAUAUUAAAGUUGUUGCAGUUAAAAAGCUCGUAGUUGAACUUCGGGGUUUACCCAUUGGUCAGGCUUAAUUGUCUGUACUGGUGAGAUGAAUCUCUACCUUCUGAGGAACUUUCAUGCCAUUUAUUUGGUGUGAUGGGAAAUCAGGACUGUUACUUUGAAAAAUUAGAGUGUUUAAAGCAGGCUAACGUCUGAAUACAUUAGCAUGGAAUAAUGAAAUAGGACGGACUGAUUCUAUUUCGUUGGUUUCUAGGAUCACCGUAAUGAUUAAUAGGGAUAGUUGGGGGCAUUAGUAUUCAAUUGUCAGAGGUGAAAUUCUUGGAUUUAUUGAAGACUAACUACUGCGAAAGCAUUUGCCAAGGAUGUUUUCAUUAAUCAAGAACGAAAGUUAGGGGAUCGAAGACGAUCAGAUACCGUCGUAGUCUUAACCAUAAACUAUGCCGACUAGGGAUCGGACGAAGUUAAUUUUAUAAUGACGCGUUCGGCACCUU